Molecule: transfer RNA, 66 nt
Filed under: Gromphadorhina grandidieri
Lineage: Eukaryota; Metazoa; Arthropoda; Insecta; Blattodea; Blaberidae
Description: tRNA-Pro
Source: RNAcentral
CAGUGAAUAGUUUAUCAUAAAAUAUUAAUUUUGGAGAUUAAUGAUAAAGUAAUACUUUUUCCCUGA